AGGAGAGAGACAGAAGAGAGAGAGACAGAAGAGAGAGGGAGACAGAAGAGAGAGAGAGAGACAGAAGAGAGAGGGAGACAGAAGAGAGAGGGAGACAGAAGAGAGAGGGAGACAGAAGAGAGAGGGAGACAGAAGAGAGAGGGAGACAAGAGAGAGGGAGACAGAAGAGAGAGGGAGACAGAAGAGAGAGGGAGACAGAAGAGAGAGAGAGACAGAAGAGAGAGAGAGACAGAAGAGGGAGAGAGACAGAAGAGGGAGAGAGACAGAAGAGGGAGAGAGACAGAAGAGGGAGAGAGACAGAGACAGAAGAGAGGAGGAGAGAGUGAGGAAGAGAGUGAGGAGAGGGAGAAGAGGAAGAGAGAGUGAGGAGAGGGAGAAGAGGAAGAGAGAAAGUGAUUGUCCUUGACUCUAGCCAAACAAUGGGACCAGUGCCAACCACCCCAAAACCAUUUCCCUUUCUCCCUGGAACUCGCUGAAGGACGUAUUUCAACCCCCGUGUCUCCUUCUUACCCUCGGUCUUCAGUAAAGUUCCCUUCUCACACUCAGGACCAGAGCCUAGAAGGACAGUGUUGUUGUGUUAAAUAAUCCUGUCCUCACACACUGGCUGGGGAGGUGUGUAUUUGUGAUGUGAUUUCAGUACUACCCAGAAAUACUAGAGCUCAGAAGACUUGAGCGUUGUCUCCUCGUCUCCUCCCACAGCGUCUGAGCUGACUUCACUCUGGGAGUGGUAGGAGGACAAAGAGAGAGUUAUGUUUACCCAGACAGCCUGAGUGUCUGUACAGUACGUCUCUUCACCUGAGGCCUCAGAACAUAGACCACACUAACUGUAACAGCCCCUGUGGAAACUGGAAUCGCUCCUCUCUCCUCCCUCUCUCCUCCCUCUCUCCUCCCUCUCUCAUCCCUCUCUCAUCCCUCUCCUCUCUCUUCUCUCUUCCCUCUCUCCUCUCUCGUCCCUCUCUCCUCUCUCCUCUCUCGUCCCUCUCACCUCUCUCGUCCCUCUCUCCUCUCUCGUCCCUCUCCCCUAUCUCUUCUCUCUCCCCUCUCUCUUCUCUCUCCCCUCUCUCCCCUCUCCCCUCUCUCCCCUCUCUCCUCCCUCUCUUCCCUCUCUCUUCCCUGUCCUCUCUGUACCUCUCGUCCCUCUCUCCUCUCUCGUCCCUCUCCUCUCUUGUCCCUCUCCCCUCUCUUGUCCCUCUCUCCUCCCUCUCUCUUCCCUCUCUCCUCUCUCUUCCCUCUCCUCUCUCUACCUCUCUCUACCUCUCUCGUCCCUCUCUCCUCCCUCUGCUCCUUCUCCAUCUCUCCUUCUCUGCUCCCUCUCUCCUUCUCUGCUCCCUCUCUCCUUCUCUCCUCCCUCUCUCCUUCUCUCCUCCUUCUCUCCUCCUCUCCUUCACUCCUCUCCAAACCCUGACUCAUCUAAUGCUACCUCUGUCUACACUAUCCAACUAAACAGGUAGACAGAUUGAGGGAAUAGACAGACAGCCCUGCCUGCUGAUUUCUGUCCAAUCACAUUCCUCUACACACAUACAGAUCUUCCUCUUCACCCGUUUCUAUUGGACCAACCAAGGAGAGAGAAUGAAGAGCCAGCAAUCCAGGUACCUACUGGGUUAACUUGGUGUCAAUGGAAGCCUGGACAUUCUGACCAAGGGAUUGUAUCUGCUUUGGACCAGGUCAUUGAGAAGCAUGUGCUUCUAACAUCUGAAAGAGAACUUUCCAAGAGUCUGGAAAAAUAGAUAUUUUGUCAGUUGGAGUUUUGUCAACACCCCCUCGCACCAUAUUGCCCUCCCAACUAGUCUCAUUGACCAGUAGUGUGUUACAACCCCCCAAACCAAAAAAAUGCCCCCAAACCACACUCUUAUGCCCCCAAACCACACUCUUAUGCCCCCAAACCACACUCUGGUGCCCCCAAACCACACUCUGGUGCCCCCAAACCACACUCUGCCCCCUCCCAACCACACUCUGCCCCCUCAGAAACAUCCGGCAUCCUCGAUCUCAGAAUCCAUUGUGUAGGUGCUUGUGACACUUUGAAACUUCGUUCCAGGUUUGUUAAAUAACCAUGUCAUCAACAGCAGAGAGAGAUGCUGACAUCGGGACUAUAUUGCUAACAGAACAGUGUUUUAAAAGCAAUAAGCAGAUAUAACAUAGCCAGACUUCCUGUUCCGUUUCCAAGAGAAGUUCUGAGGACCAGUAGGUUUGAAACGGACGUUUUACUCCAAAGCAGAGUGAUGGAAUAGCAACGGGACGUCUUCAUCAUUUUGGUGUACGGCGCGAUGAAGACGAGUACGAUGAAGAAGAGAGAGGAUUCUUCUCUUUCCCCCCCACCAUCUCAAGGAAUGUGAUUCACUUCUAAAUCGUUUUAAAUGGGGAAGCAUUUUUUUUUGGGGGGGGGGGUUAUUUAUUUCUUUGUAUUAUAAAAAAAUAAUCAAUAAAUAAGUUGUUCUUAUUGCGUACAGUACAACUGAAGUCGUCAGUGUUUAGUUUUCUCUUAGAAAAUGUCAUUAUUUUAUUAUCUAAAUGGCUUUGAUUCUUUCCAUUCUUGCUUUUAAAGCCUGACAUUAUGGUUUCUACUAGCUCUGGUCCAGGGCAUUAGUCCGUGUUCCUCCACUCCUGUUAGUAGAGAAACAUACGCUUACACCCUGGACCAGAGCUAGCUUCCUAUAUUAUUAAUAUCUCGUUUUGUGGUGCCAGAGCCUGCUGUUGUGUUGCUUACAGUGCCCUCCAGUGGUGAAAAGUGGAAGUGUCACUCAACAUAAAAUAAUCAAUGUGCUGCCAUGAUCCAUCCUCUGUGUACUAAAACACCUCUCUGUCUCUAUAGUCAGAAACGACAGUCGUUUUAUUCAGUUCAACCCCCACAGAUAAAGGAAUAAAGGAUAACUAUGUGAUUCAAUCUGAACCCCUCAACAUUGUCAAGCUACUCGAGCUGCAAUACAGGUGUCUGAGAACAAUAGAGUACAAUAUAUGUUGUUGAUGUUGUUGUUGUUGUUUUGGGUGUGAAUGAAUGGGUUAGAUUGCAUCUAUCUCCGUGUAGUCUGUUUUCUUCAUCCACUGAUGUGGAGACAUGACUUGGAUCCUGGCUUGUCUUCUAGCCCAACUCCUAUGGUCACAGUUGGCAUCAUGGCACAAACCGGUCUGACUAAGAAAACACCCGUGUCACUACUAAAAUGGACAGCUACCUGGUAUAAAACACACACACUUCAACGUGUCGAGUUUCUUUUGACGCUGUUGCUAGGCUGUAGUAUGAUAAUAAAUGUCUUUCCACCUCCGUAGAGACACUGUUACAGACAGACAGACACUGGGGAGGGAAACACUUAGUCAUCACUCAGGUGUGUGUGUGUGUGUCCCUUUUGCUGUGUGUGUGUCCCUUGUGCUGUGUGUGUGUGUGUGUGUGUCCCUUGUGCUGUGUGUGUGUGUGUGUGUGUGUCCCUUGUGCUGUGUGUGUGUGUCCCUUGUGCUGUGUGUGUGUGUCCCUUGUGCUGUGUGUGUGUGUGUGUGUGUGUCCCUUGUGCUGUGUGUGUGUCCCUUGUGCUGUGUGUGUGUGUGUGUCCCUUGUGCUGUGUGUGUCCCUUGUGCUGUGUGUGUGUGUCCCUUGUGCUGUGUGUGUGUGUGUGUGUGUGUGUGUGUGUCCCUUUUGCUGUGUGUGUGUCCCUUGUGCUGUGUGUGUGUCCCUUGUGCUGUGUGUGUGUCCCUUGUGCUGUGUGUGUGUCCCUUGUGCUGUGUGUGUGUGUGUCCCUUGUGCUGUGUGUGUGUGUGUGUCCCUUGUGCUGUGUGUGUGUGUGUGUGUCCCUUGUGCUGUGUGUGUGUGUGUGUGUCCCUUUUGCUGUGUGUGUGUCCCUUGUGCUGUGUGUGUGUGUGUGUCCCUUGUGCUGUGUGUGUGUGUGUGUGUCCUUGUGCUGUGUGUGUGUGUGUGUGUCCCUUGUGCUGUGUGUGUGUGUGUCCUUGUGCUGUGUGUGUCCCUUGUGCUGUGUGUGUGUGUGUGUCCCUUGUGCUGUGUGUGUGUGUCCCUUGUGCUGUGUGUGUGUGUCCCUUGUGCUGUGUGUGUGUGUGUCCCUUGUGCUGUGUGUGUGUGUGUGUGUCCCUUGUGCUGUGUGUGUGUGUGUGUGUCCCUUGUGUGUGUGUGUGUGUGUGUGUCCCUUUUGCUGUGUGUGUGUGUGUCCCUUGUGCUGUGUGUGUGUGUCCCUUGUACUGUGUGUGUGUGUGUGUCCCUUGUGCUGUGUGUGUCCCUUGUGCUGUGUGUGUGUGUGUGUGUGUGUGUCCCUUGUGUCAGUGUGUGUGAUGGGUAUUGCAGUCCCUUGUACUGUGUGUGUGUGUGUGUCCCUUGUGCUGUGUGUGUCCCUUGUGCUGUGUGUGUGUGUGUGUGUCCCUUGUGCUGUGUGUGUGUGUGUCCCUUGUGCUGUGUGUGUGUGUGUGUCCCUUGUGCUGUGUGUGUGUGUGUGUGUCCCUUGUGCUGUGUGUGUGUGUCCCUUGUGCUGUGUGUGUGUGUGUCCCUUGUGCUGUGUGUGUGUGUGUGUGUGUCCCUUGUGCUGUGUGUGUGUGUGUGUCCCUUUUGCUGUGUGUGUGUGUGUGUCCUUUUGCUGUGUGUGUGUGUCCCUUGUACUGUGUGUGUGUGUGUGUCCCUUGUGCUGUGUGUGUCCCUUGUGCUGUGUGUGUGUGUGUGUGUCCCUUGUGUCAGUGUGUGUGAUGGGUAUUGCUAAAUAACUAUGUUGGGGUGAGGGGGUCUCUGACCUCUGUUGGGGUGAGGGGGUCUCUGACCUCUGUUGGGG
Oncorhynchus tshawytscha (Chinook salmon) is the source of this 4754-nucleotide long non-coding RNA. NCBI's taxonomy places the organism in Eukaryota, Metazoa, Chordata, Actinopteri, Salmoniformes, Salmonidae. The record is from Ensembl.